ACCAGGUGCGGUGGCACGUGCCUGUAGUCACAGCUACUCGGGAGGCUGAGGCAGGAAGAUCACUAGAGUCCUCACUUGAGUUCUGGGCCUCGCUUUGCUAUGCUCAUCAGGUGUCCACACUGAGUUCAGCAUCAAUAUGGUGACCUCUUAGGAGCAGGGGACCACCUGGUUGCCUAAGGUAGGGUGAACUGGCCCAGGUGGGAAAUGGAGCACCUCAAAACUCCCAUGCUGAUCAGUAGUAGGAUCAUGCCUGUGAAUAGCCACUGCACUCCAGCCUGGGCAGCAUAGCGAGACCCUGUCUCUU
Non-coding RNA from Gorilla gorilla gorilla (western lowland gorilla), 304 nucleotides. It matches the Rfam family "Metazoan signal recognition particle RNA". Rfam says of the family: The signal recognition particle (SRP) is a universally conserved ribonucleoprotein. Lineage: Eukaryota; Metazoa; Chordata; Mammalia; Primates; Hominidae. The record is from Rfam.